RNAcentral lists this ribosomal RNA (468 nucleotides) under uncultured bacterium. RNAcentral describes it as "partial 16S ribosomal RNA". It matches the Rfam family "Bacterial small subunit ribosomal RNA", at positions 28 to 507 of the family's 1533-position model. The record is from RNAcentral.
GACGAACGCUGGCGGCGUGCUUAACACAUGCAAGUCGAACGGAAAGGCCCUGCUUUUGUGGGGUGCUCGAGUGGCGAACGGGUGAGUAACACGUGAGUAACCUGCCCUUGACUUUGGGAUAACUUCAGGAAACUGGGGCUAAUACCGGAUAGGGGCUCCUGCUGCAUGGUGGGGGUUGGAAAGUCUCGGCGGUUGGGGAUGGACUCGCGGCUUAUCAGCUUGUUGGUGGGGUAGUGGCUUACCAAGGCUUUGACGGGUAGCCGGCCUGAGAGGGUGACCGGCCACAUUGGGACUGAGAUACGGCCCAGACUCCUACGGGAGGCAGCAGUGGGGAAUAUUGCACAAUGGGCGGAAGCCUGAUGCAGCAGCGCCGCGUGCGGGAUGACGGCCUUCGGGUUGUAAACCGCUUUCGCCUGUGACGAAGCGUGAGUGACGGUAAUGGGUAAAGAAGCACCGGCUAACUACGUG